CCUACGGGUGGCAGCAGUAGGGAAUCUUCCUCAAUGGCCGAAAGCCUGAUGGAGCAACGCCGCGUGGGUGUAGAUGGUCUUCGGAUCGUAAAACUCUGUUGUUAGAGAAGAAAGUUCGUGAGAGUAACUGUUCACGUUUCGACGGUAUCUAACCAGAAAGCCACGGCUAACUACGUGCCAGCAGCCGCGGUAAUACGUAGGUGGCAAGCGUUAUCCGGUUUUAUUGGGCGUAAAGGGAACGCAGGCGGUCUUUUAAGUCUGAUGUGAAAGCCUUCGGCUUAACCGGAGUAGUGCAUUGGAUACUGGGAGGCUUGAGUGCAGAAGAGGAGAGUGGAACUCCAUGUGUAGCGGUGAAAUGCGUAGAUAUAUGGAAGAACACCGGGUGCGAAAGCAGCUCUCUGGUCUGUAACUGACGCUGAGGUUCGAAAGCGUGGGUAGCAAACAGGAUUAGAUACCCUGGUAGUC
This 465-nucleotide ribosomal RNA is filed under the name uncultured bacterium. RNAcentral describes it as "partial 16S ribosomal RNA". It matches the Rfam family "Bacterial small subunit ribosomal RNA", at positions 338 to 795 of the family's 1533-position model. The record is from RNAcentral.